RNAcentral lists this ribosomal RNA (690 nucleotides) under uncultured bacterium. Its description in RNAcentral is "bacterial SSU rRNA". It matches the Rfam family "Bacterial small subunit ribosomal RNA", at positions 32 to 715 of the family's 1533-position model. The record is from RNAcentral.
AACGCUAGCUACAGGCUUAACACAUGCAAGUCGAGGGGCAGCACAAGGCAGCAAUGCUGAGGUGGCGACCGGCGCACGGGUGCGUAACGCGUAUCCAACCUUCCCGUUACUCAUGGAUAGCCUUCCGAAUGGGAGAUUAAUACAUGAUGGUGUUGAAAUUCCGCAUGUUAUUUCAACUAAAGAUUUAUCGGUAACGGAUGGGGAUGCGUGACAUUAGAUAGAUGGCGGGGUAACGGCCCACCAUGUCUACGAUGUCUAGGGGUUCCGAGAGGAAGGUCCCCCACACUGGAACUGAGACACGGUCCAGACUCCUACGGGAGGCAGCAGUGAGGAAUAUUGGUCAAUGGCCGGAAGGCUGAACCAGCCAAGUAGCGUGAAGGAUGAAGGUUCUAUGGAUUGUAAACUUCUUUUAUACGGGAAUAAAACCUCCCACGUGUGGGAGCUUGUAUGUACCGUAUGAAUAAGCAUCGGCUAACUCCGUGCCAGCAGCCGCGGUAAUACGGAGGAUGCGAGCGUUAUCCGGAUUUAUUGGGUUUAAAGGGAGCGUAGACGGGAGAUUAAGUCAGCUGUGAAAGUUUGAGGCCCAACCUUAAAAUUGCAGUUGAUACUGGUUUCCUUGAGUGCGGUAUAGGUAGGCGGAAUUCGUGGUGUAGCGGUGAAAUGCUUAGAUAUCACGAAGAACUCCGAUUG